CAGUAGCCACGGGAAUACGUAGGUGGCAGGCGUUGUCCGGAAUUAUUGGGCGUAAAGGGCUCGCAGGCGGUUUCUUAAGUCUGAUGUGAAAGCCCCCGGCUCAACCGGGGAGGGUCAUUGGAAACUGGGAAACUUGAGUGCAGAAGAGGAGAGUGGAAUUCCACGUGUAGCGGUGAAAUGCGUAGAGAUGUGGAGGAACACCAGUGGCGAAGGCGACUCUCUGGUCUGUAACUGACGCUGAGGAGCGAAAGCGUGGGGAGCGAACAGGAUUAGAUACCCCCGUAGUCCCUGUCUCUUAUAC
Molecule: ribosomal RNA, 301 nt
Filed under: uncultured bacterium
Lineage: Bacteria
Description: partial 16S ribosomal RNA
Rfam family: Bacterial small subunit ribosomal RNA
Source: RNAcentral